RNAcentral lists this long non-coding RNA (204 nucleotides) under Panax ginseng (ginseng). Its description in RNAcentral is "long non-coding RNA (PGIN_LNC004352)". Lineage: Eukaryota; Viridiplantae; Streptophyta; Magnoliopsida; Apiales; Araliaceae. The record is from RNAcentral.
CAAAAUUUAUAAAUAUUACCCACAACUAUAACAUUAUACCAAAUCCACACCAUAAUAUUAAUAAUAUAUUUUGAGAAAAAUUUAAUCUUUAUUCAUAAAAGUUGGGGUCAUACAGUAUGAGUGUCUCACUAAUCUGCCCUUGGACCGGCCUUGCACUAGGAUGGUUGUCGGUAAUAUGAGCCUGCAGUUUAUGACCCUGACGGG